Molecule: long non-coding RNA, 932 nt
Filed under: Helicoverpa zea (corn earworm)
Lineage: Eukaryota; Metazoa; Arthropoda; Insecta; Lepidoptera; Noctuidae
Description: uncharacterized LOC124631149
Source: RNAcentral
GGGGGUCUACUCUAAUUCACCGAAAAACGAAGUUUCGUACGAAAUUUCGCGAACUUCUUACCACGGUUCCAUUUCGUUCCGAAAUUUCGUACGAACGAAGAUUGUUUGACGUUUAUUGUCUAUAAACCUACUCUAAUUCGAAAUGCUACGAACGAAUAUUUGAGUUUGACAGACGAAACUUCGGAAUUUUAACCUCAAAUUCAACGAAACCAAAAGAGUUAUCGUUUGAUUUUCGUGUUACUUUUCGUUUUGUGAAUUUUGUGUGAAAAUUAUUGGCAAAGGCUACAAUAAUGCUUUUAAUCAAAGCAGCUUUACGUGAAGAUCAUGUAGAGCGAAGAAGGAACCGGCAGUGCUUGCGCAAUCAAUUAAAUAUUAGCGAAAUUCCCGACGUAGAGUUUGUAGGAAAUCACAGACUCAGUCGGCAAUUUUUCGAAGGGUUGUGCCAGGAAUUCGUGCCUUUAUUACCUCCAAACAAUGCAAAUUGCAAUUGCUAGACCUUCUGGAAUCGAAAAUAUUUCCAUUCUCUUAACACCCAAGUUAUAUUAUGUGACAGCGAUACUACAUAUAUAACAAAUGUGGAUGUGUCAUUUGGUGGAGCAACACACAUGAUGCUUAUAUUUGGAGAGAGUGUGAUAUUAGAAGCCACUUGGAGGGUCUCCAGAAUGAAACAGUUUAUCUGUUAGGUGACUCUGGGUAUUCUCUCUAAGGGAGCAUAUGAUGACACCGAUAGAUAAAGCUGUUGAAGAUUCUCUUGAAGGCAGAUACAACUUUGCAGAGCUUUGUUAGUGCAAAUUUUGGAAAGGAAUAGGUAGGACAAAGUUCUACUCAAGCACAUCAUAACAUGCUCCAGAAAAACUGUAUGUUUAUUGAUUUUAAGAAUUUGACAUGAUGUUAUUUAUUUCCUUUAGAGUUUAAUAAAAGAAUAAAUUAUA